UACAAGUUAAAAUUUUCGUCUUCCAAUCGCCUUCAAGCUAUGCACCUGCCUGAAAGGAAAAGGAACGGGAACGCUUCUGCAUGGAAGCUCGCCACAACGUGUUUCGGUUUCACUGCGUUCACAUCGAUAGGGUUCAAAUGUGUUCUCCGCGCCACCAUGAGGGAACAGCCGAUACACAAUCUUCAACCGAAUCGUCGUGUCUUCCUUCCCAUGCGUUCAACCAUCGCUAUCGCGGUUUGAUGGUGUUUUCGCGGUUUGAUGGUGUUUUCGCGGAUUCACCGUUCGUCAACCAAUCAUGGCUCGCAUUGACAUAGGCAAUAAGACCCACUCGAAUCCAGUACAACAUCGCUUUCGUCGAAAUCAGCUCACCGUCGUCGUAUGUACGAACAAGGGAAAAUGUGGAAACGCAAAUUCUUCUGUUAUUGUUGCGUCGAAUUGUGCGGAAACGCGAGAUUGUGUUUGUUUGACUUCUUGAUGAACUGAUUGUUGAUGCGUGAAUUCUGUAAUACGAGAUUGCGUUUUGCGGAUUUGGAGUUGCGAACCAAGAGACAGGAGGGAGAGGACGGCGAGAAGCUUGUUGAAGGUUCUGUUUGCAGGUUCCUCAAGGAAGAUUGAGAGGGUUGAUGAGGCUUUUGACAGGGAAGGAAAUUGGAUUUAUGACAGUGAAGAAGAUUGGAUUCUUUUGGGCAUGAAGAAAGAUGAAGGCGUUGAAGUUAUUGAAGAAGAAGAUUGGUGUCUACAAAAAAUCCUCAGAAUGAGGCUUGAGGUGUUUAUAUAGAGCACUCAUCCUAACCGAUUAGAGCAUCCCUUUGGACAAUCAUGUCAGUUAGUUAUUCUGUUACGGGUUGCAUUGAGGACAUGUGAUGUGUUAAUGGAUCGUAGAGAUAACUUGCUGAACUGGUUUUGCUUCGAACUGCAGAUUUUUGUUAACUUUGAAAUUUCCAUUUACGGGUUGCAUGUCAUGUGUCGUUUGUGGAAGUGGCUGUUAAGGAUCAACAUGAUGACUUGCUAGUGCAGGAUCGUAUAUGGUGAAUUAUUGUUACGAUAAGACGCAUAUGCACAGGCUGCUCCCCUUGGUUGGACUGACCGUAGUGUGAUGUCUUCCUGAAUGGGGUUGAUACUUACUACCAUGAUUUGUUGUGUAAAUGCCAAGCUACUUGGCAAAUUUUGAAUAUUUAUUUAACCGAUGUUAUUGACGUUUGGAAGGUGCAGGUUUAGUGUAUGUUCAGAUGGAAGGUUCUGCUAUGGCAGAAUUUUUUAGGCUCGGUUGGAGGAUUUUUUUUUUUGGAAGAACAGAGAAAAUGGCAGCAGCUUUUUUUUUAGUGGAAGAACCGCCAAGGGUGAGUCCAGGCACGAUAAUGGCAAAUGUAUCAAGAAGACAAGAAAAUCCGGCGUAGAUAAACCACCAAAUGGUGCCGAACGGAAUGUCGUCGGCGUCGGAAGAUCGUCGGAAUCUUCGGUGGGGCUUAGAGGGGACAUCUUUUUUUGGGUGUAACUUAGAAUUGUGCAUGAUUUCGUAGUUAUAUCGAUGCAUUUUUUCAUUGAUGCAUUUUUUCAUUGUUUCAAUUUUCAUUGGUGAUGGUUAAUUGUUAGAGGUUAUGUUAGAAACAUUUUGUUUUGGUUAAUUGGAAAUUAGCUUGUGAUUGAGAAUGCUAA
This is a long non-coding RNA of Lathyrus oleraceus (garden pea), 1656 nucleotides long. RefSeq lists it as uncharacterized. The record is from RefSeq and is a predicted model, not a curated record. The transcript is spliced from 3 exons. NCBI's taxonomy places the organism in Eukaryota, Viridiplantae, Streptophyta, Magnoliopsida, Fabales, Fabaceae.